GACGAACGCUGGCGGCGUGCUUAACACAUGCAAGUCGAACGGAAAGGCCCUGCUUUUGUGGGGUGCUCGAGUGGCGAACGGGUGAGUAACACGUGAGUAACCUGCCCUUGACUUUGGGAUAACUUCAGGAAACUGGGGCUAAUACCGGAUAGGAGCUCCUGCUGCAUGGUGGGGGUUGGAAAGUUUCGGCGGUUGGGGAUGGACUGGGGGCUUAUCAGCUUGUUGGUGGGGUAGUGGCUUACCAAGGCUUUGACGGGUAGGCAGCCUGAGAGGGUGAACGGCAACAUGGGGAAUAAGAGAGGGAGCAGACGGCAAGGGGGGGCAGGGGGGGGGAGAAUGAAAAAGUGGGGGGAAGCGUGUGGAAGAGGUCGGGGGGGGGGAAUGAGGGCUUGGGGGUGAGAACCGGUAUUAAGGGGAGAAAAAGAGGGGGUGAGGUUAAAGAAAAAAGAAGAACCGGAUAACUACGUG
Molecule: ribosomal RNA, 468 nt
Filed under: uncultured bacterium
Lineage: Bacteria
Description: partial 16S ribosomal RNA
Rfam family: Bacterial small subunit ribosomal RNA (bases 20-329)
Source: RNAcentral